AGAGUUUGAUCAUGGCUCAGAUUGAACGCUGGCGGCAUGCUUUACACAUGCAAGUCGAACGGCAGCGGGGGCUUCGGCCUGCCGGCGAGUGGCGAACGGGUGAGUAAUGCAUCGGAACGUGCCCAUGUCGUGGGGGAUAACACAUCGAAAGAUGUGCUAAUACCGCAUACGUCCUGAGGGAGAAAGCGGGGGACCUUCGGGCCUCGCGCGAUUGGAGCGGCCGAUGUCAGAUUAGCUAGUAGGUGGGGUAAAGGCCCACCUAGGCGACGAUCUGUAGCGGGUCUGAGAGGAUGAUCCGCCACACUGGGACUGAGACACGGCCCAGACUCCUACGGGAGGCAGCAGUGGGGAAUUUUGGACAAUGGGGGCAACCCUGAUCCAGCCAUGCCGCGUGAGUGAAGAAGGCCUUCGGGUUGUAAAGCUCUUUCGGCCGGGAAGAAAUCGCGCUCUUUAAUAGAGGGUGUGGAUGACGGUACCGGACUAAGAAGCACCGGCUAACUACGUGCCAGCAGCCGCGGUAAUA
This 523-nucleotide ribosomal RNA is filed under the name uncultured Thauera sp. Its description in RNAcentral is "bacterial SSU rRNA". It matches the Rfam family "Bacterial small subunit ribosomal RNA", at positions 8 to 525 of the family's 1533-position model. Lineage: Bacteria; Pseudomonadati; Pseudomonadota; Betaproteobacteria; Rhodocyclales; Zoogloeaceae. The record is from RNAcentral.